UACGGGGGGGGCAAGCGUUGUUCGGAAUUACUGGGCGUAAAGGGCUCGUAGGUGGCCAACUAAGUCAGACGUGAAAUCCCUCGGCUUAACCGGGGAACUGCGUCUGAUACUGGAUGGCUUGAGUUCGGGAGAGGGAUGCGGAAUUCCAGGUGUAGCGGUGAAAUUCGUAGAUAUUGGGAGGAACACCGGUGGCGAAGGCGGCCAUCUGGGAGGGCACUGACGCUGAGACGCGAAAGCGUGGGGAGCAAACAGG
RNAcentral lists this ribosomal RNA (253 nucleotides) under uncultured bacterium. Its description in RNAcentral is "partial 16S ribosomal RNA". It matches the Rfam family "Bacterial small subunit ribosomal RNA", at positions 524 to 776 of the family's 1533-position model. The record is from RNAcentral.